Molecule: ribosomal RNA, 497 nt
Filed under: uncultured bacterium
Lineage: Bacteria
Description: partial 16S ribosomal RNA
Rfam family: Bacterial small subunit ribosomal RNA
Source: RNAcentral
GAUGAACGCUGGCGGCGUGCCUAAUACAUGCAAGUCGAGCGAACAGACGAGGAGCUUGCUCCUCUGACGUUAGCGGCGGACGGGUGAGUAACACGUGGAUAACCUACCUAUAAGACUGGGAUAACUUCGGGAAACCGGAGCUAAUACCGGAUAAUAUAUUGAACCGCAUGGUUCAAUAGUGAAAGACGGUUUUGCUGUCACUUAUAGAUGGAUCCGCGCCGCAUUAGCUAGUUGGUAGGGUAACGGCUUACCAAGGCAACGAUGCGUAGCCGACCUGAGAGGGUGAUCGGCGACACUGGAACUGAGACACGGUCCAGACUCCUACGGGAGGCAGCAGUAGGGAAUCUUCCGCAAUGGGCGAAAGCCUGACGGAGCAACGCCGCGUGAGUGAUGAAGGUCUUCGGAUCGUAAAACUCUGUUAUUAGGGAAGAACAAAUGUGUAAGUAACUAUGCACGUCUUGACGGUACCUAAUCAGAAAGCCACGGCUAACUACGUG